This 548-nucleotide ribosomal RNA is filed under the name uncultured Glomeromycotina. RNAcentral's name for it is "SSU rRNA". It matches the Rfam family "Eukaryotic small subunit ribosomal RNA", at positions 548 to 1098 of the family's 1831-position model. The record is from RNAcentral. Lineage: Eukaryota; Fungi; Glomeromycota.
UUGGAGGGCAAGUCUGGUGCCAGCAGCCGCGGUAAUUCCAGCUCCAAUAGCGUAUAUUAAAGUUGCUGCAGUUAAAAAGCUCGUAGUUGAAUUUCGGGACCAUCAUGUCGGUCGUGCCUCGGUACGUACUGGCAUUGUCGGUUUCUCCCUUCUGACGAACCAUGAUGUCAUUUAUUUGGUGUUGUGGGGAAUCAGGACUGUUACUUUGAAAAAAUUAGAGUGUUUAAAGCAGGCUCACGCUUGAAUACAUUAGCAUGGAAUAAUGAAAUAGGACGUUUGAUUCUAUUUUGUUGGUUUCUAGGAUCGACGUAAUGAUUAAUAGGGAUAGUUGGGGGCAUUAGUAUUCAAUUGUCAGAGGUGAAAUUCUUGGAUUUAUUGAAGACUAACUACUGCGAAAGCAUUUGCCAAGGAUGUUUUCAUUAAUCAAGAACGAAAGUUAGGGGAUCGAAGACGAUCAGAUACCGUCGUAGUCUUAACCAUAAACUAUGCCGACUAGGGAUCGGAUGAUGUUAAUUUUUUAAUGACUCAUUCGGCGCCUUACGGGAAAC